This 902-nucleotide long non-coding RNA is filed under the name Ananas comosus (pineapple). Its description in RNAcentral is "long non-coding RNA (ACOM_LNC031204)". Lineage: Eukaryota; Viridiplantae; Streptophyta; Magnoliopsida; Poales; Bromeliaceae. The record is from RNAcentral.
UAAUUGUGUAUAUACACUACAACAGAAUUAGGUUAUAGGGACAUAUGUUUAGGACACUUUUGUGUAAGUAUCCCAUUUAUGUCAAAACUUUAAAAAAAAAUUAUUAAUGUCUAAAUAUAAAGUCUAAUCCAACCAAAAAUAAAAGAUUACUCUACUCAACUCACCCCACCCAACUUAUUCGGCCCGAUUACAAACAUAAAUGAAAAAGAAAAAAAAAAUCGAUUACUAUUUUCCCUUCUCCCCUCACUCAAUCGACUGAAAUACUAGAUGAAGAUUCCUUCCUCUCGUCCUCCUCUGCCACCGCAGCCAACGAGGUAGAGUUCCGGCGGUUGCUAAAUGCUUAAAUAAAUAUUGGUAAAUUAACAGCACUCUUUUAAGGUUAUAGCGACACUCUUUAACCGUCACUAUAUACCUAGCGACCCCACAUAUAGCAAUACUUUUUAAAAGUGUCGGUAAUUUAGCCAGCAGCACUUUUUUUUAUAUGUACCGAUAUUUAAAAGUGUCGCUAUAGACCGUUUUUGUUAUAGUGAUAUAUUUUUGGAUAAACUUUAAAUAUCACUCAUGUGGUUUCGCAUUUUUUAACUUUAGUACCAUGUUGUUAAAGUGUAUCAAUUUAGUACCCUAUAGUUUUAUUUUCUUUUUUUUUCGUCAGUCCCUUCGUUAACUUUUUGUUAAAUCAUAUACAAAAAACUUUAUAUUUUCUAUCUAUAGUUUAUUGAAUAUUCACUUUAGUAUCUUUUAGUUUUUAAUUUUGUUACCAAUUUAACGAAAAAAAUUAGUAGAGGAAAUAAUAAUAAAAAAAAAAUCACAGGGUACAAAAGUGAUGCACUUUAAACCACAAGGUAUUAAAGUAAUACAGUACUUUAUAAAUCACAAACGCACAAAAUAAUGCAUUAAUUUAC